Molecule: ribosomal RNA, 484 nt
Filed under: uncultured bacterium
Lineage: Bacteria
Description: partial 16S ribosomal RNA
Rfam family: Bacterial small subunit ribosomal RNA
Source: RNAcentral
AUUGAACGCUGGCGGCAUGCUUUACACAUGCCAGUCGAACGGCAGCGCGGGCUUCGGCCUGGCGGCGAGUGGCGAACGGGUGAGUAAUGCAUCGGAACGUGCCCAGUAGUGGGGGAUAGCCCGGCGAAAGCCGGAUUAAUACCGCAUACGACCUGAGGGUGAAAGCGGGGGACCGAAAGGCCUCGCGCUAUUGGAGCGGCCGAUGUCGGAUUAGCUAGUUGGUGGGGUAAAGGCUUACCAAGGCGACGAUCCGUAGCUGGUCUGAGAGGACGACCAGCCACACUGGGACUGAGACACGGCCCAGACUCCUACGGGAGGCAGCAGUGGGGAAUUUUGGACAAUGGGGGCAACCCUGAUCCAGCCAUGCCGCGUGCGGGAAGAAGGCCUUCGGGUUGUAAACCGCUUUUGUUCGGGAAGAAAUCCUCUGGGCUAAUACCCCGGGGGGAUGACGGUACCGGAAGAAUGAGCACCGGCUAACUACGUG